AGCGAACGCUGGCGGCAGGCUUAACACAUGCAAGUCGAGCGGGCACUUUCGGGUGUCAGCGGCGGACGGGUGAGUAACGCGUGGGAACGUGCCCUCUGGUUCGGAAUAACUCAGGGAAACUUGAGCUAAUACCGGAUACGCCCUUUUGGGGAAAGGCUUGCUGCCGGAGGAUCGGCCCGCGUCUGAUUAGCUAGUUGGUGAGGUAACGGCUCACCAAGGCGACGAUCAGUAGCUGGUCUGAGAGGAUGAUCAGCCACACUGGGACUGAGACACGGCCCAGACUCCUACGGGAGGAAGCAGUGGGGAAUAUUGGACAAUGGGCGCAAGCCUGAUCCAGCCAUGCCGCGUGAGUGAUCAAGGCCUUAGGGUUGUAAAGCUCUUUUAUCCGGGACGAUAAUGACGGUACCGGAGGAAUAAGCCCCGGCUAACUUCGUG
This 435-nucleotide ribosomal RNA is filed under the name uncultured bacterium. RNAcentral's name for it is "partial 16S ribosomal RNA". It matches the Rfam family "Bacterial small subunit ribosomal RNA", at positions 29 to 507 of the family's 1533-position model. The record is from RNAcentral.